CCUACGGGUGGCUGCAGUGGGGAAUCUUGCGCAAUGGGCGGAAGCCUGACGCAGCGACGCCGCGUGCGGGACGAAGGCCUUCGGGUCGUAAACCGCUUUCAGCAGGGACGAGGCCCUCACGGUGACGGUACCUGCAGAAGAAGCCUCGGCUAACUACGGGCCAGCAGCCGCGGUAAUACGUGGGGGGCGAGCGUAAUUCGGUUUCAUGGGGCGUAAAGCGGGCGUAGGCGGCCUGUUAGGUCGGGGGGAAAAUACCGGGGCUCAACCCCGGCCCGCCCCCGAUACCGGCAGGCGUGAGUCUAGUAGAGGAAGGCGGAAUUCCCAGUGUAGCGGUGGAAUGCGCAGAGAUUGGGAAGAACACCAGCGGCGAAGGCGGCCUUCUGGGCCACGACUGACGCUGAGGCGCGAAAGCGAGGGGAGCGAACAGGAUUAGAUACCCGUGUAGUC
RNAcentral lists this ribosomal RNA (447 nucleotides) under uncultured bacterium. Its description in RNAcentral is "partial 16S ribosomal RNA". It matches the Rfam family "Bacterial small subunit ribosomal RNA", at positions 338 to 795 of the family's 1533-position model. The record is from RNAcentral.